Molecule: ribosomal RNA, 253 nt
Filed under: uncultured bacterium
Lineage: Bacteria
Description: partial 16S ribosomal RNA
Rfam family: Bacterial small subunit ribosomal RNA
Source: RNAcentral
UACGAAGGGGGCUAGCGUUGUUCGGAAUCACUGGGCGUAAAGGGCGCGUAGGCGGCUUUAUAAGUCGGGGGUGAAAGCCUGUGGCUCAACCACAGAAUUGCCUUCGAUACUGUAGAGCUUGAGACCGGAAGAGGUAAGUGGAACUGCGAGUGUAGAGGUGAAAUUCGUAGAUAUUCGGAAGAACACCAGUGGCGAAGGCGACUCACUGGACACAUAUUGACGCUGAGGUGCGAAAGCGUGGGGAGCAAACAGG